RNAcentral lists this small RNA (114 nucleotides) under uncultured Acidaminococcus sp. RNAcentral's name for it is "ydaO/yuaA leader". The stretch from base 3 to 100 matches the Rfam family "c-di-AMP riboswitch aptamer (ydaO/yuaA leader)", at positions 13 to 117 of the family's 134-position model. Rfam says of the family: This family represents a conserved RNA structure found upstream of the ydaO and yuaA genes in Bacillus subtilis and related genes in other bacteria. The ydaO/yuaA element is thought to act as a genetic "off" switch for the ydaO and yuaA genes in its native state. Lineage: Bacteria; Bacillati; Bacillota; Negativicutes; Acidaminococcales; Acidaminococcaceae. The record is from RNAcentral.
AACCGAAUCACCGUGGAGCGGUGAACGGGGGAACCAACGUUGGGGUUAAUUUCUAAGGAAUAGGGUAUCUCGACCCGCACCCGGCAGCUAACCUCGUAGGGCAAUCGAGAGGAU